This 492-nucleotide ribosomal RNA is filed under the name uncultured bacterium. RNAcentral describes it as "partial 16S ribosomal RNA". It matches the Rfam family "Bacterial small subunit ribosomal RNA", at positions 29 to 507 of the family's 1533-position model. The record is from RNAcentral.
AGUGAACGCUGGCGGUAGGCCUAACACAUGCAAGUCGAACGGCAGCACAGUAAGAGCCUGCUCUUACGGGUGGCGAGUGGCGGACGGGUGAGGAAUGCAUCGGAAUCUACUUUUUCGUGGGGGAUAACGUAGGGAAACUUACGCUAAUACCGCAUACGACCUCCGGGUGAAAGCAGGGGAUCUUUGGACCUUGCGCGAUUGAAUGAGCCGAUGUCGGAUUAGCUAGUUGGCGGGGUAAAGGCCCACCAAGGCGACGAUCCGUAGCUGGUCUGAGAGGAUGAUCAGCCACACGGGAGCUUAGACACGGACCAGACUCCUACGGGAGGCAGCAGUGGGGAAUAUUGGACAAUGGGCGCAAGCCUGAUCCAGCCAUACCGCGUGUGUGAAGAAGGCCUGCGGGUUGUAAAGCCCUUUUGUUGGGAAAGAAAAGCAGCAGGUUAAUACCCCGCUGUUCUGACGGUACCCAAAGAAUAAGCACCGGCUAACUUCGUG